UAGCUAGCUUACGUACCUUUCAGUAACAGUUCCACCUCGUCCUCUCUCCAAGAUAAUAAAUCCCUGCUCUGACUUUUCACCGGUUAUGUUCUUUUUCCAAAGUAUUUCCUGUAUUUUCAACUUCUACAUCCAUUA
Etheostoma spectabile (orangethroat darter) is the source of this 135-nucleotide long non-coding RNA. RefSeq lists it as uncharacterized. Lineage: Eukaryota; Metazoa; Chordata; Actinopteri; Perciformes; Percidae. The transcript is spliced from 3 exons. The record is from RefSeq and is a predicted model, not a curated record.